UAGAUCAUGUGUCAGAUCAAGUUGAUGCACAAUGACACCAACCCAAACAAGAUGUAGAUCCCCACGCAAAUCUGCUUAAAAUCGAUGCCCCGCUCCCUCCUACCCUUCUUAACCCCCCCCCCCCUCCCCUCCUGUGUCAAACGGCAUUACGUCGCAUUGGAAUAUGGCAUAGCGCCAUAUCCAACACAUGGUGUGGACCUGUUGCUUUUGUGUUUCCAGUGCUGUCUAAUGACCAAUCCCCCCGCCCCACCGCCCCCCACACGACGCUCCCCCCACACACUUUUACUCCAUCCUCCAGUAGGCAAAUCCUUCAGCUUUAUUGCCCAGACUCAAGGGCUGCAGGUGCACCGGCCACAAAAGAGAGAGAAGGGGUUUUUGAGGGAAGGGGGGUGCUGGGAAUAGAGAAUGGUUAGUCGGCAGAUAAGAGAGGAAGGAACCGAGACCCCCGCCCCACACACAACCACCCUCCCACUCUGAUUUAACCUCUUCACCCACCCAUCUCUUACAUCCCCAUCCUGCACGUUGCUAUGGAAAGAUGGAAGGAAGCUCCGUGCACUAGUACACUACACUAGUAACUCAUCAAACAAUCCAAGGCUCCGGUCUAGUUUAACGAGGUGGUGCACAGUUUUGCCUUACUAGUUUUGCUACUAGUAGUAUGUACAAAACUCAAGAUAGAGAUUGAAUAAAUGAAGCUACUAGUGCAUGACACACACUAUACCCACUCGUUGAGCCAAGUAAUGUUACAAGUGCAUCAUAGGCUUUAUUUGUGCACUCGCAGACUAAAUGUGGCAUUAAAAGUUCGGGAAACUCAUAACCGGUUAGACACAAUUGUUGUACAAGUGCGUUGAAUUGUCCUACUAGUGAAGAGAAAGAGGUACGUGGAUCUGAAGAUGGACACCCAGGCUAUCGAAUAAACGCUCAAAGGAUUUCACACCAGUGCGAGCGAUCGCACCUGGCACCACCGAGCCUUUGUGACUGUGUGUGUUUUGUGUGUGUAUGCUGGUAAUGUCCAGCAGCCUUUCAUCUGAGCAAGCAGAUAUGGCCCCUAAUGUACAUCCCACCGUUGGCCCCCGACCGCCUACUCGCACUCAUGAGCCGACUGAUCGACCAAUGAGAUGUCUAUAAAAACUGCAGCUGAGCUUCGAACCCCAAAGCUUCUAACGAGCUGCCAUGUCUGGAACACGCCCACGGGGACAGGAAUAACAGGCCGCUCCAGAACACAAGGAUGUAUCCGAGACAUCGUGGCACCCUACCUGCCUGCUCACUUUCCUUAUCUUCUGUCCUAAUCGUCGGUCCCUUCCACCAUCUGCUCCUACGGGUCCGCAGUAAAAAAACGCCACCGCCGUGUAUAAGACGGGCUCGGUUUCAUGGUGGACCACAUUUCGGUGGUGAACGGACAACGAAAGAGCAAACCUAAGAUAACUGGUCCGAGUAAUAUUUAAUUGCAUAUUAGCAGGCAAAAAGAGGGACUGGCAAAGG
Syngnathus acus (greater pipefish) is the source of this 1479-nucleotide long non-coding RNA. RefSeq lists it as uncharacterized. The transcript is spliced from 2 exons. NCBI's taxonomy places the organism in Eukaryota, Metazoa, Chordata, Actinopteri, Syngnathiformes, Syngnathidae. The record is from RefSeq and is a predicted model, not a curated record.